Molecule: ribosomal RNA, 243 nt
Filed under: Triticum aestivum (bread wheat)
Lineage: Eukaryota; Viridiplantae; Streptophyta; Magnoliopsida; Poales; Poaceae
Description: partial small subunit ribosomal RNA
Source: RNAcentral
AUGAGUCGACCUGAUGGGAUCAACAUCCCCGACGGCAAGUUCUACCUUGGAGAUGCUGGCUAUGCAUGUCGGCCGGGUAUUCUUCCACCCUUCAGGAAAACAAGGUACCAUCUCAACGAGUUCUCUGGUAGGAACUUUCCUAGGACUGCACAGGAUUUGUUUAAUCUCAGACACUCCAGCCUUAGAGUAACUGUUGAGAGGGCAUCUGGAGCUCUGAAGAAUAGGUUUAAGAUCCUGGAAUAG